Molecule: ribosomal RNA, 368 nt
Filed under: Talaromyces udagawae
Lineage: Eukaryota; Fungi; Ascomycota; Eurotiomycetes; Eurotiales; Trichocomaceae
Description: LSU rRNA
Rfam family: Eukaryotic large subunit ribosomal RNA
Source: RNAcentral
UGCCUUAUAGCCCGGGGUGUCAUGCGGCCCGCCUGGACCGAGGCCCGCGCUUCGGCGAGGAUGCUGGCGUAAUGGUGGUCAACGGCCCGUCUUGAAACACGGACCAAGGAGUCUAACAUCUAUGCGAGUGUUCGGGUGUCAAACCCGUCCGCGCAGUGAAAGCGAACGCCGGUGGGAACCCCUCCCGGGGCGCACCAUCGACCGAUCCUGAUGUCUUCGGAUGGAUUUGAGUAAGAGCAUAGCUGUUGGGACCCGAAAGAUGGUGAACUAUGCCUGAAUAGGGCGAAGCCAGAGGAAACUCUGGUGGAGGCUCGCAGCGGUUCUGACGUGCAAAUCGAUCGUCAAAUUUGGGUAUAGGGCGAAAGACU